Molecule: ribosomal RNA, 858 nt
Filed under: uncultured Bacteroidota bacterium
Lineage: Bacteria; Pseudomonadati; Bacteroidota
Description: bacterial SSU rRNA
Rfam family: Bacterial small subunit ribosomal RNA
Source: RNAcentral
AGUCGUACGGGAUUCGGUCUUUCGGGACUGAUGAGAGUGGCGCACGGGUGCGUAACGCGUAUGCAACCUGCCUUAUACUUGGGGAUAGCCCGGGGAAACCCGGAUUAAUACCCGAUGGGAUACAGAGACCGCAUGGUAUUUUGUAUUAAAGAUUCGUCGGUAUAAGCUGGGCAUGCGUAGGAUUAGUUAGUUGGCGGGGUAACGGCCCACCAAGACUUUGAUCCUUAGGGGUUCUGAGAGGAAGGUCCCCCACACUGGCACUGAGAUACGGGCCAGACUCCUACGGGAGGCAGCAGUAGGGAAUAUUGGGCAAUGGGCGGAAGCCUGACCCAGCCAUGCCGCGUGCAGGAAGACGGCGUUCUGCGUUGUAAACUGCUUUUAUCAGGGAAGAAAAAGUCCGUGCGCGGAAAAUUGCCGGUACCUGGUGAAUAAGCACCGGCUAACUCCGUGCCAGCAGCCGCGGUAAUACGGAGGGUGCAAGCGUUGUCCGGAUUUAUUGGGUUUAAAGGGUGCGUAGGCGGCCUUUUGAGUCAGCGGUGAAAGUUUUCGGCUCAACCGGAAAAAUGCCGUUGAUACUGGGGGGCUUGAGUCACGGAGGGGUACAUGGAAUUGGUGGUGUAGCGGUGAAAUGCAUAGAUACCAUCAGGAACACCGAAAGCGAAGGCAUUGUACUUGCCGUGAACUGACGCUGAGGCACGAAAGCGCGGGUAGCGAACAGGAUUAGAUACCCUGGUAGUCCGCGCCGUAAACGAUGAUCACUCGCUGCUAUCCCCUUUGCGGGGUGGCGGCCAAGCGAAAGCGUUAAGUGAUCCACCUGGGGAGUACGCCCGCAAGGGUGAAACUCAAAGGAAUUGACGG